UCCUUACCUGAAUCUGAGUGGCUGGCUGU
This 29-nucleotide non-coding RNA is filed under the name Rattus norvegicus (Norway rat). Lineage: Eukaryota; Metazoa; Chordata; Mammalia; Rodentia; Muridae. The record is from RNAcentral.